RNAcentral lists this ribosomal RNA (460 nucleotides) under uncultured bacterium. RNAcentral's name for it is "partial 16S ribosomal RNA". It matches the Rfam family "Bacterial small subunit ribosomal RNA", at positions 338 to 795 of the family's 1533-position model. The record is from RNAcentral.
CCUACGGGUGGCAGCAGUGAGGAAUAUUGGUCAAUGGGCGCGAGCCUGAACCAGCCAAGUAGCGUGAAGGAUGACUGCCCUACGGGUUGUAAACUUCUUUUAUAAAGGAAUAAAGUGAGGCACGUGUGCCUUUUUGUAUGUACUUUAUGAAUAAGGAUCGGCUAACUCCGUGCCAGCAGCCGCGGUAAUACGGCGGAGCCGAGCGUUAUCCGGAUUGAUUGGGUUUAAAGGGAGCGUAGAUGGGUUGUUAAGUCAGUUGUGAAAGUUUGCGGCUCAACCGUAAAAUUGCCUUUGAUACUGGCAGUCUUGAUUACAGUUGAGGUAGGCUGUAUUCGUGGUGUAGCGGUGAACUGCUUAGAUAUCACGCAGAACUCCGAUUGCGAAGGCAGCUUACUACACUGCCACUGACCUUGAUGCUCGAAAGUGUGGGUAUCAAACAGGAUUAGAUACCCCGGUAGUC